Molecule: ribosomal RNA, 1962 nt
Filed under: Hemitrichia decipiens
Lineage: Eukaryota; Evosea; Eumycetozoa; Trichiida; Trichiidae
Description: Trichia decipiens partial small subunit ribosomal RNA
Rfam family: Eukaryotic small subunit ribosomal RNA
Source: RNAcentral
AUAUGCUUACCCCGAUGCUUAAGCCAUGCAAGCCUAAGACUUGGAAUGCUGUAUAAGCACGGACAAAUCUGCGACAGGCUCCGUAUAUCUGUUAUAACCUUCGGUUCGAUGUAAAACUUGUGGAUAACCCAGGUAAUUCUCGGGCUAAUACUCACUUUUCGGGACCAUCGAGUGCCAGCUUGCUGGCGCUAGUGGUCCUGGCUUCCAAGUUUGACCAACACCUUUCCUCGGAAAGGCAAGCGGGAGAGCCUGGAAGUGAACCGUACCGUCGUUAUCGGCGGUGUGGCCCCUGGCUACCAGACCUAUCAACUUGAGCACAAGGGCUCGCCCUGUGCUGGUAAUAACGGGUACAGAGGAUCAGGGUUCGAUCCUGGAGAGGUAGCCUUAGAAAUCGCUACCACUUCUAAGGAAGGCAGCAGGCGCGCAACGUUCCCAAUAAGGACUUCUUGAGGACGUGAAGGGGAAUAGCAAUGCGGCCCCCUAAAAAGGGCAGCAAUUGAAAUGGGGGCGUCUUAGAUACCCCACCGAGUAACAAUUGGAGGACAAGUCUGGUGCCAGCACCCGCGAAAACCUAGCUGGGAAUCCGUGGGAACAGUGUGUGAAAACCACAUGCUAGUCCAAGGGAACAGGGUGGGGGGCCCCCCUAUGGGGCACAGGGCCCCCCCCCUCACUACCUUGCCGAUCGAAUUGACGCGGCGGGGGGGGUAAAUUUCCCCCUGGGCAACACCAUCAAAUUGCGGGAAGUCCCUAAAGCCCCCACCUACCAAGCGCUCCCGGGAAACUGGGGCGUGGCGCAGGCAAUGACUCGCGGUAUGGUAACAACGGUGGGGGAUAACCUGGGUGGGGUGACAAAGCAGGCGAGUAACAGGGAGGUGUGGCCAAAAAUGCCUGCCCUCCCUGCCCUCCCUGCAGCAUUUGCCAUGCCCAGGUGCCUUGGCAAGGCAGCAAACAUGGGUAAUCCGCAGCCAAGUUCUACCUGUGGGCCACUGUGGGGGCAUGUGAGCCUGCCACAAGGGCCUUUCAGCCAUGAAUGCAGUUCAAAGACUAAAUGGUGGUGCAGGGGCCACCCACCCGUGGGCAGCACGGUGCUCGUGUGUGUCCUGGCUUGCCUGUGGGCAAGCCUGGUGGGUUCCUCGUAAGAUAUAGUCCGCCCACCGGGAAACCGGGCCUGCAGGAGGAAGGGAUGCCCUCAAGGGCCCCCGGAGAGCCUCAGGGGGAGCGACCGCCGCCUCGUUUAAGCACAGGCAGGCACCCGCUCCUGGAGUUUGUCGUUUUGGGGGCAUUUCGACCCAAAAAAACGGUAAACAUCGCGGUAAUUCCAGCUCCAAUAGCUUCUUGUUAAGUUGCUGCAGUUAAAACGCUCGUAGUUAAAGCCGGUGGUGCGAUUUGGGGUUCUUAGUAGGCCCGGAGGUUUCACGGGCCUUCUCUGGGGUCGGUUGUGCGGUGCGAGUUCCCAGUGAACCAGGGCUGCCUUCCCCUCCGGUACGGCUCCGCCUCCAGGUCAAACGGGCCUUGACGCCCAUCGAAUCGCCUUGCGUUUGGGCAGUGGGUCUUCAGUGGCCUGCUGUCUGGCCUUGGCACCAUACUUUGAAUAAAUUUGAGCGCUCAACGCAGGCCUUAUGGCCCUGAAAACCCUAGCAAAGAAUAUCGUAACAGGAAUUUCCCUGGCUCGGUUGGUACUUGGGGGGAUUAAUGAUUGAUAGAGGGGAUCGGGGUUGGUCAAAUGACAGGGGAAGGGGUGAAAUCUAUUGAUCCCUGCCAGUUGAACUAAAGCGAAGGCAGCUUGCCAGUACCCUCUCUUUGAUCAAGAACGAAAGUCUGGGGAUCGAAGAUGAUCAGAUACCAUCGUAGUCCAGACCCUAAAUGCUGCCGAUCAUGGAUGGGCUAGCGUCCAUCCCGACCCAUCCCGGACAUUGUGGGAAACCAGAAUGUUUGGGCUCUGGGGGGAGUAUGAUCGCAAGA